CCUACGGGGGGCAGCAGUGGGGAAUUUUGGACAAUGGGGGCAACCCUGAUCCAGCCAUGCCGCGUGCGGGAAGAAGGCCUUCGGGUUGUAAACCGCUUUUAGCCGGGAAGAAAAGGCGGGGGCUAACACCCUCUGUUUUUGACGGUACCGGCGGAAUAAGCACCGGCUAACUACGUGCCAGCAGCCGCGGUAAUACGUAGUGUGCGAGCGUUAAUCGGGAUUAGUGGGCGUACAAAGUGCGCAGGGGGUUCCCCGGGCUCAACCUGGGAACGGCAUUGGAAACUGGCGGGCUGGAGUGUGGCAGAGGGGGGUGGAAUUCCGCGUGUAGCAGUGAAAUGCGUAGAGAUGCGGAGGAACACCGAUGGCGAAGGCAGCCCCCUGGGCUGACACUGACGCUCAGGCACGAAAGCGUGGGGAGCAAACAGGAUUAGAUACCCUAGUAGUC
Molecule: ribosomal RNA, 445 nt
Filed under: uncultured bacterium
Lineage: Bacteria
Description: partial 16S ribosomal RNA
Rfam family: Bacterial small subunit ribosomal RNA
Source: RNAcentral